This 352-nucleotide long non-coding RNA is filed under the name Physcomitrium patens. RNAcentral's name for it is "long non-coding RNA (PPAT_LNC008443)". The record is from RNAcentral. Lineage: Eukaryota; Viridiplantae; Streptophyta; Bryopsida; Funariales; Funariaceae.
GCUUUAUACUCACGAUCUUGUAUCCAUUGAUUGUCUCGUUAGAUUAAUCCAAUAAAUUUCAUUCACUCCGCAUACUCAAUCCUAUAGACACCCUUUUAAUUCUUCAAUCAUAGACGUAACUUGAUUUCACAAAACAGUCAAGAGUAAUCAAACCCACUUCAUUAAAAAUCCCGAUUCACCAUUACAACAUUGACUUCAACAACGAUUGCCUCAGUCUUCCCAAAACCCUAUGAAGAAAAAAAAAACCCAAUUCUCUGUCUUCUUUCCCCGCCCGAAGCAUGAAGCUAGCUCUUCCCGAUCCUUGUCAAAAAAUCCCCCGUGAUCUUCAAAAACCUCCAAUGAAACCGAACUA